CGAAAUGCGAUAAGUAAUGUGAAUUGCAGAAUUCAGUGAAUCAUCGAAUCUUUGAACGCACCUUGCGCUCCUUGGUAUUCCUUGGAGCGUGCCUGUUUGAGUAUCAUGAAAUCUUCAAAGUAAAUCUUUUGUUAACUCAAUUGGUUUCUACUUUGGUAUUGGAGGUCUUUGCAGCUUCACACCUGCUCCUCUUUGUUCAUUAGCUGGAUCUCAGUGUUAUGCUUGGUUCCACUCGGCGUGAUAAGUUAUCUAUCGCUGAGGACACUGUAAAAGGUGGCCAAGGUAAAUGCAGAUGAACCGCUUCUAAUAGUCCAUUGACUUGGACAAUACUUUUAUGAUCUGAUCUCAAAUCAGGUAGGACUACCCGCUGAACUUAAGC
RNAcentral lists this unclassified non-coding RNA (379 nucleotides) under plant metagenome. RNAcentral describes it as "partial contains 5.8S ribosomal RNA, internal transcribed spacer 2, and large subunit ribosomal RNA". The stretch from base 1 to 106 matches the Rfam family "5.8S ribosomal RNA", at positions 49 to 154 of the family's 154-position model. The record is from RNAcentral.